RNAcentral lists this ribosomal RNA (492 nucleotides) under uncultured bacterium. Its description in RNAcentral is "partial 16S ribosomal RNA". It matches the Rfam family "Bacterial small subunit ribosomal RNA", at positions 29 to 507 of the family's 1533-position model. The record is from RNAcentral.
AGUGAACGCUGGCGGUAGGCCUAACACAUGCAAGUCGAACGGCAGCACAGUAAGAGCCUGCUCUUACGGGUGGCGAGUGGCGGACGGGUGAGGAAUACAUCGGAAUCUACUUUUUCGUGGGGGAUAACGUAGGGAAACUUACGCUAAUACCGCAUACGACCUACGGGUGAAAGCAGGGGAUCUUCGGACCUUGCGCGAUUGAAUGAGCGGAUGUCGGAUUAGCUAGUUGGCGGGGUAAAGGCCCACCAAGGCGACGAUCCGUAGCUGGUCUGAGAGGAUGAUCAGCCACACUGGAACUGAGACACGGUCCAGACUCCUACGGGAGGCAGCAGUGGGGAAUAUUGGACAAUGGGCGCAAGCCUGAUCCAGCCAUACCGCGUGGGUGAAGAAGGCCUUCGGGUUGUAAAGCCCUUUUGUUGGGAAAGAAAAGCAGCAGGUUAAUACCCCGCUGUUCUGACGGUACCCAAAGAAUAAGCACCGGCUAACUUCGUG